Molecule: ribosomal RNA, 433 nt
Filed under: Bacillus sp. (in: firmicutes)
Lineage: Bacteria; Bacillati; Bacillota; Bacilli; Caryophanales; Bacillaceae
Description: bacterial SSU rRNA
Rfam family: Bacterial small subunit ribosomal RNA
Source: RNAcentral
CCGGGGCUAAUACCAGAUGCUUGAUUGAACCGCAUGGUUCAAUUAUAAAAGGUGGCUUUUAGCUACCACUUACAGAUGGACCCGCGGCGCAUUAGCUAGUUGGUGAGGUAACGGCUCACCAAGGCAACGAUGCGUAGCCGACCUGAGAGGGUGAUCGGCCACACUGGGACUGAGACACGGCCCAGACUCCUACGGGAGGCAGCAGUAGGGAAUCUUCCGCAAUGGACGAAAGUCUGACGGAGCAACGCCGCGUGAGUGAUGAAGGUUUUCGGAUCGUAAAACUCUGUUGUUAGGGAAGAACAAGUACCGUUCGAAUAGGGCGGUACCUUGACGGUACCUAACCAGAAAGCCACGGCUAACUACGUGCCAGCAGCCGCGGUAAUACGUAGGUGGCAAGCGUUGUCCGGAAUUAUUGGGCGUAAAGCGCGCGCAG